This is a long non-coding RNA of Stylophora pistillata, 1869 nucleotides long. The record is from RefSeq and is a predicted model, not a curated record. Lineage: Eukaryota; Metazoa; Cnidaria; Anthozoa; Scleractinia; Pocilloporidae.
UGUGGUGGUUUUGAUUCUUUGCAAGCAAGGCUUUGAAGAUCAUGAAAUGGAAGUUAGAAUAAUUUGGAUAUAUCAACAAAGUUGAAAUGGUAAAUUGGCCACCGUAACGAUUACAAAAGCUGACGUUUCGAGCGUUAGCCCUUCGUCAGAGUGAAUAGAGGAAUUGUGGGUUGUGUGUGGAAGUUAGAAUAGUUUGGUACAUUCACUUGACUCCUAUGAAAGGUUAUUCACUGGCACUGAAAUAUCAGUGAUACAAAAUUCAUAUUUCAUUUUUUAGCCAACAUGUUGAGAACAGCAAACACCAUGUUCAUGGUUGAAUUUGGUUCUGUAUGGGCAGCCUAGCAAUCAGUUAACUCUCUUUUGGUUUACACUUUCUUGUAUAGUGGUUGGACUACAUCUUUAGUGCAUUGAUUUUAAUCUUUUUCACAGGUACUCCAAUCGUUCUUUUUGUAAUACUGGCAUUAAUGUUAGUAAUACUGGUGAUUUCAAUUGUAUUUAACAUUUACCUUUGGAGGAAAAAGAGAUUACUGAUGCAGGGAAAAGAAAAGCCUGAAAACGUUUAAGAGCAAUUCUCCAAGAAAGUGAAGCAAAGUUGGAAAUGAAAAUUUUUAACCCUCCUUCAUUUUUUGUGCAGAGGUAGGUUACUUGGGGGGAUGAACAAAAACAGCCAUAUUUGGAACAGCAGGUUUGUCAUUGCCAUGGUAACCACACUUGAUCAUGUGGGCCUGAGGUUUGUGUUUUGAACAAAAAAUUCACUCUCAAGAAGUAAAAAUAAACGAGUCUGGUUCACGGGUGCAUGUGAACCAAUUUACAUGAAAUUCAUACAAAUGGUAGAGGUACUCUUCAAGGUAGGUUUUGUAUCAAUUUAUAUUUCGUUAAAUUCGUUGGCCAAGACCUUAUCAACUCAAUGUAGGUAACAGACAAGAUGAUAAAAGAUACUUUUGAAGCUGAUUUUGUCUAAAGCCUGUUUGAGCCAAAUACUAGAGCCCUCUAAAUUACCAAUUUUGCCAUUUUUUUGCAAUUUGCCCCAGGUGUCUUCAACACCCAUGGCCAGAAUAUAAUUUUCCCCAAGUUGAUUUUAUGAUAUUUAGAAGUGUCAAUAUCUGUGUAAUCUUUGCUGCUAAUUUGGUUUACUUGUGGAAAGAGUACUUUUGGAGAAAUUACAAAUCUGGUUGUGCUUGUUUUUCCUGCUUGUCUAAAUGGCUGACAGGGAACAUAGUUAAAGAUGAGCAUUUUCUUCUUGUUGAUAAAACCCAAAAUAUUUUAAGGGCAAAUUUUAUAAACUGGGAGAGUGGCUCUACCAUCUGUAUGAAUAUAAUUUGAAUUGGUUCUCGUGCAUCCAGGAACCAGACUUGUUUACUUUUACUUUUUGAAAGUGGAACUUUUGCACCAAACAUGGUCCUGAGGCUGACAUCAACUAGUGCAGUUGCCAUGGAAACGAUAAUCUACUGAUCCAAAUAUCGCUGUUUUUGUUUAUCCCCCUAGGUAACCUACCUCCACACUGAAAUUGAAGUGGGGUUAAAAAUUUUCAUUUCCAACCUUUCUUCACUUUCUCGGAGAAUUGCUUUUAAUGAUUUAAUACACAAAAGUGUUGUGUCAUUAUAGAUUUAGAAUACUUUUUAAUGUAUUUUUUUUAAAAAAUGGCACUUAUUACUGCUGGUAAUCAAUCAAUCAAUCAAUUUAUUAAUGUCAAAACGUAGGAUGAGGUUGCCCCGGUCAUCCGAGCCAGAGGCUCACGUAUUAAACGUAUGACAAUAAAAUACGAAGUUAAAAACGAUACAAUUAAGAAGUCAAUUAAAAUACAAACACCUACAUUAGGAUAAUUUAGAAAGCUGCACCCACCCGCGACCGAGUGAAUUAAUGAAAAAA